CGUAUCUCCAUUUUAAUUACUAGGGAAUGAGCUUGUAAAACAAUCUCUAAGACCCUUUCGCAGUUUUCACUGUCAAGGGUUAUAUUAACAUAGGCCAAUCUAAGCUUUUAAAUAUUGUCUCUCUUGAUCUCUAGCUAUUUGAUGACGCCUCUGCUUCUUUUAUACCCCAAAGCUGCUGGUGUCUGACUGGACAGAAACUCAAGUUGGCCAUUGGUUAAAGAGUAUUGGAAUGAAAAAAUAUAUCCUGAAAUUUGAUUAUAAAAGAAUAAGAGGUCAAGAACUUCUUGAAUUAGACAAUGAUGCAUUAAAAUGCAUUGGCAUCACUAAGAAGAGAGAUCGCAAGAAAAUCCUUAAGGGAAUUAAGAAAAUUCAACAGACAGAAAAAAAUUAAUACAAUCUAACAAUUAAAUAUAUCAAAAAGAUAAUUCUGGAAGAUACAGCAAAAAUGAGAAAAAUAUAAUUACAUGAUAUUUACCUUUAA
This is a long non-coding RNA of Monodelphis domestica (gray short-tailed opossum), 481 nucleotides long. RefSeq lists it as uncharacterized. NCBI's taxonomy places the organism in Eukaryota, Metazoa, Chordata, Mammalia, Didelphimorphia, Didelphidae. The record is from RefSeq and is a predicted model, not a curated record.